RNAcentral lists this long non-coding RNA (633 nucleotides) under Physcomitrium patens. RNAcentral describes it as "long non-coding RNA (PPAT_LNC013758)". The record is from RNAcentral. Lineage: Eukaryota; Viridiplantae; Streptophyta; Bryopsida; Funariales; Funariaceae.
AUUUGACCCUCUAUUUGAGAUUGAUCCACCAUAUCUUCCAUGUAAUAAUUUCCUUCUUAGAUUCUACUAUUAUAAUGCCUUUUCACCUUUCAAUUGACUUUUUAAGAAUAGCUUGUUGUAACCUCAAUACAAUAUUUAGUAUGACAUUAACAAUUGACCUUGGACUAAAUGAUGGCUAUCAAUAUACUACCAAAGAAUAGUUUAAUACUUGCUCUGAUACCAAUAAAAUAUGAUAAGUCUAUCUUGAGUAUCCAAGACUCUUUAAAUCCAUAGUAAUAUAAAAUCUCAUUACAAAUUAGGACAAAAUGGACCAGAAUAAAAUUAAAGAGAACUGAACAAAAUAGGAUUUAAAAGACCAAACUCUACAAAUGGAAAUAAGAUAAAAUAAAAUUGAAUAGGAAGAUGCAAAAACAAACUUUAUUAAGAAAGAAGGUCCAAAACCAUAUCUCAUCAGAUGCCCCAAAAGGCCUUAAUUAGUCCUAUUUACACUUUGUUCUAUGAUCCUAGACUUUCUAUAAUAUUCCUAAAUGAUGGAAUCUACUUAGAUAACCGCCUUAAACUCCUUCUAGAAGAUUUUAUGGUGGAUCCUACCUAGAUAACCAUCUUAAAUUCUUUCUAGAAUAUUCCACAAUG